RNAcentral lists this ribosomal RNA (422 nucleotides) under uncultured prokaryote. RNAcentral describes it as "bacterial SSU rRNA". It matches the Rfam family "Bacterial small subunit ribosomal RNA", at positions 355 to 774 of the family's 1533-position model. The record is from RNAcentral.
UGAGGAAUAUUGGUCAAUGGGCGAGAGCCUGAACCAGCCAAGUCGCGUGAAGGAAGACGGUUCUAUGAAUUGUAAACUUCUUUUGUAGAGGAAUAAAGUGGGUUACGUGUAGCCUUUUGUAUGUACUUUACGAAUAAGGAUCGGCUAACUCCGUGCCAGCAGCCGCGGUAAUACGGAGGAUCCAAGCGUUAUCCGGAUUUAUUGGGUUUAAAGGGUGCGUAGGUGGAUUGGUAAGUCAGCGGUGAAAGUUUGCAGCUUAACUGUAAAAUUGCCGUUGAAACUGUCAGUCUUGAGUGCAAAUGAGGUAGGCGGAAUGUGUUGUGUAGCGGUGAAAUGCUUAGAUAUAACACAGAACUCCGAUUGCGAAGGCAGCUUACUGGGAUGCAACUGACACUGAUGCACGAAAGCGUGGGUAUCAAACA